Molecule: ribosomal RNA, 238 nt
Filed under: uncultured bacterium
Lineage: Bacteria
Description: partial 16S ribosomal RNA
Rfam family: Bacterial small subunit ribosomal RNA
Source: RNAcentral
UACGUAGGGGGCAAGCGUUGUCCGGAUUUAUUGGGUUUAAAGGGUGCGUAGGUGGGUCUGUAAGUCAGUGGUGAAAUCUCCGAGCUUAACUCGGAAACUGCCAUUGAUACUAAUAGAUCUUGAAUUAUCUGGAGGUGAGCGGAAUAUGUCAUGUAGCGGUGAAAUGCUUAGAUAUCGGAAGGAACACCUGUGGCGAAAGCGGCUCACUGGACCAUUACUGACGCUGAGGCACGGAAAG